UUCUACUUUCCAUUGAGGUUCUCGUAACCUGUUCCAUCAUUGUUUACUAUUCAAAAGUGGUUAUAAAAGGUUACCGGCUAAGCAAAUAUAAGCUAGCUCAUUCUGAACUAUUUCCUGUUCAUUUCCAUGGUUAUACUUAGCCAUAGUGAAAUUGACCAGACAUUAAUUCGUGUACUUUUCCUUUUACGAUGAUAUAUUGAUCACAAAUAGAAAUUAUAAAUCCUUUUAAGUCAGAUUACGAUUGCGUUGCUAAGACCUGAAAUUGAUAUAUUA
Molecule: non-coding RNA, 273 nt
Organism: Schizosaccharomyces pombe (fission yeast)
Lineage: Eukaryota; Fungi; Ascomycota; Schizosaccharomycetes; Schizosaccharomycetales; Schizosaccharomycetaceae
Source: the annotation of a GenBank genome assembly